Molecule: unclassified non-coding RNA, 441 nt
Filed under: Hevea brasiliensis (rubber tree)
Lineage: Eukaryota; Viridiplantae; Streptophyta; Magnoliopsida; Malpighiales; Euphorbiaceae
Source: RNAcentral
CAAACCCAUAACGCCCCAGCACGUGAAUUCCGAGAGAAAAACAUAAGCAAGGUGAAGACAAAGACUGAAUUCAGCGUGUUCAAGCAGAGUGAAUUUCCAGAGAUAUAUAUAUGAGCAGAAAGAGACUCCAUUGAGAAUAACAGAUGAGGACACAGAUUUCAAAAUUAAACCACAAGCCAGCACACUACACAAAAUCUUCUCAGCAAACAACCAUCAAAGGUCAAAACACACAAAAUUUAGAAAGAGAACCCACAAACAUGCAAAGCCAAAACUGAGCUGAAAAGCUCAAACUAUAAUUUUUCCCAGACAAAAUGUUAAAUUUUGCUCAUAAUAAAUCCCAACUUCCUAAUAUCAUGAGACUCAACAAACAAAAACGCUUUCUCUUGUUAUUUGUUCACGGGUUUUCUGAUAUUCAAACCUGCAAUUCUGCGAUCCAGAAAG